UACAGAGGGUGCGAGCGUUGUCCGGAAUCACUGGGCGUAAAGGGCGCGUAGGCGGCCUGAUAAGUCGGGGGUGAAAUCCUGUGGCUUAACCACAGGGCUGCCUCCGAGACUGUCGGGCUCGAGCACAGUAGAGGCAGGUGGAAUUCCCGGCGUAGCGGUGGAAUGCGUAGAGAUCGGGAAGAACAUCGGUGGCGAAGGCGGCCUGCUGGGCUGUUGCUGACGCUGAGGCGCGACAGCGUGGGGAGCAAACAGG
Molecule: ribosomal RNA, 253 nt
Filed under: uncultured bacterium
Lineage: Bacteria
Description: partial 16S ribosomal RNA
Rfam family: Bacterial small subunit ribosomal RNA
Source: RNAcentral